CUCAGGCUCAGAGGCACCGGGAGUGGGGCGCGCCCACCUUCGGAGGGAAAAUCUGGCAGGAGAAAUCCCAAGAGUUCCUGCCCCCUUGAGGGAAGGGUUAGUGUAUGAUUUUCACCACUGCUUUGGGAAUAACCCCCAUCCCCAUAGACGUAGCUGUAGCUGUAUUUAGCAAGGUAUGAAAACUCCCUUUUGAGUGUUCUUUGGCCAUCUGAGUGUUCCUGAUUCUGUGGCUCCCCUUCUGAAGCUAUAGAACACAUUUUCUUUUCCUGCCCAAUAGUAGCUCCAGGUUCCUCUCCAAGCAGGUCACAACCAAGCUCCAGGAGAACCCCCAAAGGCAAGGAAAAGGUAUAUCAGGGGACUCUUCUGAUUCACCAGCCUCUUUUACCAGAAGACAAAAUCUUUC
This 403-nucleotide long non-coding RNA is filed under the name Heterocephalus glaber (naked mole-rat). Its description in RNAcentral is "lncRNA (ENSHGLG00100044550.1)". Lineage: Eukaryota; Metazoa; Chordata; Mammalia; Rodentia; Bathyergidae. The record is from RNAcentral.